This 253-nucleotide ribosomal RNA is filed under the name uncultured bacterium. Its description in RNAcentral is "partial 16S ribosomal RNA". It matches the Rfam family "Bacterial small subunit ribosomal RNA", at positions 524 to 776 of the family's 1533-position model. The record is from RNAcentral.
GACAGAGGGUGCAAACGUUGUUCGGAAUUACUGGGCGUAAAGCGAGUGUAGGCGGUCUGCUAAGUCGGGUGUGAAAGCCCUGGGCUCAACCCAGGAAGUGCACUCGAAACUGGCGGGCUAGAGUAUCGGAGAGGUUGGUGGAAUUCUCGGUGUAGAGGUGAAAUUCGUAGAUAUCGGGAGGAACACCGGUGGCGAAGGCGGCGACCUGGGUAGAUACUGACGCUGAGGCGCGAAAGCGUGGGGAGCAAACAGG